This 73-nucleotide transfer RNA is filed under the name Phialophora macrospora. RNAcentral describes it as "tRNA-Arg (TCT) (tRNA-Arg-TCT-1-1)". It matches the Rfam family "tRNA". From Rfam's summary of the family: Transfer RNA (tRNA) molecules are approximately 80 nucleotides in length. Lineage: Eukaryota; Fungi; Ascomycota; Eurotiomycetes; Chaetothyriales; Herpotrichiellaceae. The record is from RNAcentral.
GGCCAGGUAGUUCAGUGGUAGAACAUCGCCCUUCUGAGGCGUGAGGUGGCCUGUUCGAAUCAGGCUCUGGCUG